Molecule: long non-coding RNA, 4139 nt
Organism: Passer montanus (Eurasian tree sparrow)
Lineage: Eukaryota; Metazoa; Chordata; Aves; Passeriformes; Passeridae
Exons: 2
Source: RefSeq, a predicted model, not a curated record
UCAGAGUCACGUUUUGCAGGGGCAGCUGAAAAUGUGACACUUUCUGCGGUGGCACAUCGGUGGUUUGGACCUAAAUUAGUUCGUAUUGUUGACCUGUGGCGAUAGCGGGUGGCUGAAGCCAUUCUCGUUCCGCAGAAUCACAGAAUCGCUCGGGUUGGAAGGUCCGACUGGAGAUCAGAGCCCCCUGCCAAGGCAGGUGACACGCGGCAGGUGACACAGGAACGCGUCCAGGAAAGCUCCCUUACACACUGAAAGGUCCCAAGGCCCCCCAGGAGCCUUCUCUGCUCCAAGAUGAACAGCCCCAGCUGUAUCAGCCUUUCUUCAUAGAAGAAGUGCUCCUCUGAGCAGCUUCAUGCCUUCGUCUGGACCUGCUCCAGGAGAUCCUUGUCUUAAUUAGGCACCAAAAGCUCAUUGCACACAUUUGUAGUUUUUCCCUGGAGUAAAUGAAACAUUGUGGCAAUGGCAAACAUAGCAAGCAGACUCUCAGCACAAAAUGCAGGAAAGCGAAAUAAAAACACAAAUGUGAAGACAUAAAAGUCAACACGUGUGGUAUUGAAAGUCUGUAUUUGGCCUCUGGAUUACACGAUCUGAGGAAAAGGCUCUGUGAACGUGAUAAAUAAACAGUGGAAUUGUCACAUGGAACGAGUACGGGGGGAAUACAUGGAAGAAGGACAAGGCAGGGCUCUUCUCACAGAGCCGUGGAAAUGGUGGAAUUCUCUUUCCCUGGGUUUGGCUCAGUAGGCGCGGCUCGGGGGGCCGCAUUGUGUGGUUCCAUGGUGUAAUGGUUAGCACUCUGGACUCUGAAUCCAGCGAUCCGAGUUCAAAUCUCGGUGGAACCUGAACGUUUUUGCCACCAACACGUUUCUUUCCUGCUCAGAACCAUGGAAAGUGACUUCAAGGCGUUUUUCAUGGAAUGUUAGAACGCCAUAAACAUCUCAUACCUCCUGGAAUACGUAUCUAAAUGAGAAGGGUAUUCAAUCAGAGAGUUUUCCUGUGUUUUCCCCACCACAUCUAUUAUUUAUUGCAGCCACAUUAGUACUUUCUUACAAAUUAUCUGAAGAACCUCACACAUGUCACUGCAUAUUGUUUCUUUUUCUGUGCUUUGAAUCUCCUGUAUUUCCACACAGUUCUGAAUUGUGCAUCAGCAGAGCUGGUGGCAGCUGCUGGGCUCGGCAGGGAUGAGCUUUUGGGGUGUCUGACAGCAGAUGUCCCCAGUGGCCGUGUUUGCUUUCUGCCCUCCUUCCACCGGGGGUGACCUCGUUGUGGUGCCCAGAGGAGAGCUGGAGAGGGAUCUGGGACCAGGGAUGGAGUGACAGGACACGAGGGAUGGCUUCACUCCGCCAGAGGGAGGAUUAGAUGGGAAACUGGGGAGGAAUUCUUCCCUGUGAGGGUGGCACGGCCCUGGCACAGGGUGCCCAGAGGAACUCGAUGCUCCAGCACUGGCAGCAUUUUGGCCAGGUUGGAUGGGGCUUGGAGCAAGCUGGGAUGGUGGAAGGUGGCCCUGGAUCAUCUUUAAGGUUCCUUCCAACCCAAACCAUUCCGCGAUUCUGGGAGGGCAACAAAUAUCACAGAAACUCGGAACAAACAUGAAUAUUCAGGCUGUGUUAGGUUCCCGUGGGGCACCCGGCACAAGGGCAGAACGAGCAGCGAUUUCCCAAAACAAAAGCAGGAUUUUUUUUCGCUGUGGAUUAAUUGUGGGGGCCGGCGGAGGAGAGAGGCACCGCCCGGUUCUAUGGUGUAAUGGUCAGCACUCUGGACUUUGAAUCCAGCGAUCCGAGUUCAAAUCUCGGUAGAACCUCCCCAGGUCUCAGUUUUUGUGCCUCAGAGCCCAGCAGGGACAGACCGGAUCGCGCUGGAGCUCCAGCCCUGCUGUCCCCGACCCAGCUCUCACUCUUCUCCAUUUUCUUCAAUGCAACGAAAUUAAUUACACAAGACUUCAUAUCAUUCUUGCUACUUUUUAAUUAGGUGUUUAGUUGUAUUUCACUGCUGUUUUACAUUAAGUACUUUUGGGGGGAGGCACACUGUGGAAAAUUACAUCAGGCAGAUGUGCAGAAUUUGGAUGUUAUUUUUCAGAUGCACCCAACUGCUCACUUGGAAAAUAAGGGCAGAAACGCAGUGUUUUGGGAUAAACUGCACAAUUUAAAUGGAUAUUCCCUCUGCUUCGCUGCCACAAACCCUCAGUAGCUACUUUCAUUUCCAGAGCAGCUAAGGACAUCUUACACCUUGGCUCCCCUCCUCCAAUCCUGUCCUAGUCACUUGUUGACACAGCAACAGGAACAAGCCUGCUCUGAUCAACAGCUCCUCCUCUGGCCAGGUAACCUUUGAAAAAACACACAGAACACCUUCAAAUCAAAUUGUUAUUUAGCAAAAAUCCAGAUCCCAACUGCUCAAGGGAACAUAUGGAAAUGUUUGCUCAAUUCAUUAAAUUUUCACACAACCUAGUGAUGAAGAAAAUCAAUGUAUUAACUGACAAUUCUAGAGAGUAAAUUACCAUUCCUACAGCAAUCUGCAACCUCCUCCUUCCAUUUGGCAGAGUUUGGGGUGCAGCUGUAAUCCAAAAGCCCCAUCAAGUGCUGACACAGUACUGGUGCCACAGAUGGGCCCAGGCAAAUCCAGGUGUACCUAAAGGGUUAAACUUCUACAUCAUGGAAUGACACAGAAGCAGUGCAGAAUUGAGUACUGAGAUUUAUUCACAAUUCAUGGCCACGCUGCACUGGAAAACAAAGCACCAAAAUCUGGGUAACUGAACACCAUCCAGCUAUAAUCCUGCAUUUGGAUAUCUGCACUCCUCUGGGGGACAGCAAUAGAAAUUAUUAUGGAAUCAGGGAAUCCAAUGAAGGAAUUAAAUAGUGCUGUAAUUUCAGAAGUGUGGCUACAAACACAUAUUGUCAACAUUAAUGGACUUUCCAACUGCAGAUUCAAAAGCCAGAAUCAAACCUUAGGCAAGUAUUUCACUAUAUAUGAAGCUGCAACAAGGUUUUCUGAUAUAUGUUAAAAUUUCAAUGAAAGCAGGGUAAAGGGGGAAAGAUAAAAAGGAAAGAAAAGUUCUAUCCUGUAAAACUGGCACUUUAAAGAAAAGGCCUUUAAAAAAACUAAAAUAUUUUACUCCAAAAGUCUUAAAAAACAAAAGCUGACCCAAAGAAAAGAAACCCAAAAAGACAACUCUCAGUUACUCAGGUCACUAAUGAUAAUACAUUCUGUGUAGCCACUUGUCAUGGUUUUGCACAGGAGACAUUCAGGGAAGUGAUGGAAAUGUUUGUUAUGCAAAACCAUAACACCACUACAAGCUCAGUAAGAUCCUUCCUUUAAAUUCCUUUAAAAAAGAAUUCUGCAGCAGACAAAUCAACAGCUCUGCACUGUGACUGCCUCAAUUGGUUAAAACACUUGACCAGAUGGAAGAAAUGGAUCCAGCUGAAGCAGGUUAUUUGGACACUGAGCCAGCCAUUCCCCUUGCAGUGGGAGCAGAACAGAUGAUUCCACCCAGUGCCCAGCCCAUUCCUGGCUCCCCAGCAGCACAGGCAGUGAGGCAGGCACUGGCCAAAGUGCCACCAGCCUGGGAGCAUCCAUCACCUUGCACACACAGCCCAGGACUCUGCUUUCACAACAGCAAGGCAGCUCCUGGGCAGGUUACUGCAGACUUCCUCAGAAAAGCAAACUGGUUUUGUACCAUUUCACACAUAAAAAAAUGAGCACACUGUACAAAGAGCAGCAGAGAUAUAAUUUAAACAUGCAUCCAGCUACAAACCAUAUAUACAGAGAAACAGGCCUAUACAAACAGAACAGGACCACUUUAUUACAUGACAGUUCUGGUGGAGCUCUUGGAGGAAAUCACAGAUGAACAAACGAGACCGAAGGAGGUGGAUGUUGCUCCUGGAAGUAAUCUGGUUUGAAAUGUCACACCACACCCCCACCUUUCCCCAGCACACAUCUAUCACAGUUCCAGCACACACAGCUCUUCCCACCACUCUGGACUCCCUCCCUGUACAGAGGUAGAUUUCUGUCGAUGUUCUGAUAUUGCACCAUGGCAAGUAUGGUUCUUAUCACAAGGAACACCCUGCAAAGGCUAAUUCAUGUAAUUCAUGGGCAUAAUCUCAUUGUGGGCAUUCAGGUAGUGCAGUAAAUCAAAUUCAUUCAGAAAA